RNAcentral lists this ribosomal RNA (101 nucleotides) under uncultured bacterium. RNAcentral describes it as "partial 16S ribosomal RNA". It matches the Rfam family "Bacterial small subunit ribosomal RNA", at positions 1380 to 1482 of the family's 1533-position model. The record is from RNAcentral.
CUUGUACACACCGCCCGUCACACCAUGGAAGUUGGUUCUGCCUGAAGCCGGUUGCCUAACGCAAGAGGGCGCCGACCACGGCCGGGCCAAUGACUGGGGUG